GAGUUUGAUCAUGGCUCAGAUCGAACGCUGGCGGCAUGCCUUACACAUGCAAGUCGAACGGCAGCAUGAUCUAGCUUGCUAGAUUGAUGGCGAGUGGCGAACGGGUGAGUAAUACAUCGGAACGUGCCCUGUAGUGGGGGAUAACUAGUCGAAAGAUUAGCUAAUACCGCAUACGACCUGAGGGUGAAAGUGGGGGACCGCAAGGCCUCAUGCUAUAGGAGCGGCCGAUGUCUGAUUAGCUAGUUGGUGGGGUAAAGGCCCACCAAGGCGACGAUCAGUAGCUGGUCUGAGAGGACGAUCAGCCACACUGGGACUGAGACACGGCCCAGGACUCCUACGGGAGGCAGCAGUGGGGAAUUUUGGACAAUGGCGAAAGCCUGAUCCAGCAAUGCCGCGUGUGUG
RNAcentral lists this ribosomal RNA (402 nucleotides) under uncultured microorganism. RNAcentral describes it as "bacterial SSU rRNA". It matches the Rfam family "Bacterial small subunit ribosomal RNA", at positions 9 to 407 of the family's 1533-position model. The record is from RNAcentral.